This 1390-nucleotide ribosomal RNA is filed under the name metagenome. Its description in RNAcentral is "bacterial SSU rRNA". It matches the Rfam family "Bacterial small subunit ribosomal RNA". The record is from RNAcentral.
CGGGUGAGUAAUGUAUCGGAACGUGCCCAAUAGUGGGGGAUAGCCCGGCGAAAGCCGGAUUAAUACCGCAUGAGACCUGAGGGUGAAAGCGGGGGAUCGCAAGACCUCGCGCUAUUGGAGCGGCCGAUAUCAGAUAGGUAGUUGGUGGGGUAAAAGCCUACCAAGCCGACGAUCUGUAGCUGGUCUGAGAGGACGACCAGCCACACUGGGACUGAGACACGGCCCAGACUCCUACGGGAGGCAGCAGUGGGGAAUUUUGGACAAUGGGCGAAAGCCUGAUCCAGCCAUGCCGCGUGCGGGAAGAAGGCCUUCGGGUUGUAAACCGCUUUUGUCAGGGAAGAAAUCCCUUGAGUUAAUACCUCGGGGGGAUGACGGUACCUGAAGAAUAAGCACCGGCUAACUACGUGCCAGCAGCCGCGGUAAUACGUAGGGUGCGAGCGUUAAUCGGAGUUACUGGGCGUAAAGCGUGCGCAGGCGGUUAUGCAAGACAGAUGUGAAAUCCCCGGGCUCAACCUGGGAACUGCAUUUGUGACUGCAUAGCUAGAGUACGGUAGAGGGGGAUGGAAUUCCGCGUGUAGCAGUGAAAUGCGUAGAUAUGCGGAGGAACACCGAUGGCGAAGGCAAUCCCCUGGACCUGUACUGACGCUCAUGCACGAAAGCGGGGAGCAAACAGGAUUAGAUACCCUGGUAGUCCACGCCCUAAACGAUGUCAACUGGUUGUUGGACGGCUUGCUGUUCAGUAACGAAGCUAACGCGUGAAGUUGACCGCCUGGGGAGUACGGACGCAAGGUUGAAACUCAAAGGAAUUGACGGGGACCCGCACAAGCGGUGGAUGAUGUGGUUUAAUUCGAUGCAACGCGAAAAACCUUACCUACCCUUGACAUGUCUGGAAUCCCGAAGAGAUUUGGGAGUGCUCGAAAGAGAACCAGAACACAGGUGCUGCAUGGCCGUCGUCAGCUCGUGUCGUGAGAUGUUGGGUUAAGUCCCGCAACGAGCGCAACCCUUGUCAUUAGUUGCUACGAAAGGGCACUCUAAUGAGACUGCCGGUGACAAACCGGAGGAAGGUGGGGAUGACGUCAGGUCCUCAUGGCCCUUAUGGGUAGGGCUACACACGUCAUACAAUGGCCGGUACAGAGGGCUGCCAACCCGCGAGGGGGAGCCAAUCCCAGAAAACCGGUCGUAGUCCGGAUCGCAGUCUGCAACUCGACUGCGUGAAGUCGGAAUCGCUAGUAAUCGCGGAUCAGCUUGCCGCGGUGAAUACGUUCCCGGGUCUUGUACACACCGCCCGUCACACCAUGGGAGCGGGUUCUGCCAGAAGUAGUUAGCCUAACCGCAAGGAGGGCGAUUACCACGGCAGGGUUCGUGACUGGGGUGAAGUCGAAACAAGGUA